This is a long non-coding RNA of Esox lucius (northern pike), 941 nucleotides long. The record is from Ensembl. Lineage: Eukaryota; Metazoa; Chordata; Actinopteri; Esociformes; Esocidae.
UUUUGCUCCAUAAUUGCUUCUUCCUUGGCAUCUCUCCAUUCUGCUCCCACUCUAAUGCACUCCCUCCAUCCUUUACCAUAUGUUACAGUGAAGCCCUCUACUAUCCCUCAGACAACUCCCCCCUCCCACGUCUUUCCUCUCCCUUUCUCCCUUUCUCCCUCUGUCCUUUCUGUAGGGACAACUGAGGGGAGUCAUUCAACUGAGGGGAGCCUGCCCUGAAACUCCUCAGGUCUCUCCUCCUCCAUCUCCCUCUCAGUAUCCCUCUCUCCCUCGUCCUCCUCCAUCCCUCCCUCUCUCCCGUCCCAUUUCUCCUGUCCUACCCCACGUCCCUUCAUCCAUCACCCAGGCAGACAGUCCCUCUGUGUCCGCGUCUCCGCACUGAGAGAGGGCUCUUACACGGGCAGACGAGGAGAGUCCCUGGUGGAAUGGGAGCUAGAUGAGGGAGCUGAUUGUGUGCCUCGCCGUCCUCUCCGUCUGGACAGUCAGACAGCUGGCCCGGCCAUCUUCAUGUGCCUUUGACGACAGUCUCACCACUUCGCUGUAUGUAUGUACAACCGUCCAAGGAGCACAAGCACCAGCCCCAGUACCAGCACCAGCACCAACACCAGCCCCAACACCAGCCCCAGUACCAGCCCCAGCACCAGCACCAGCCCCAACAUCAGCCCCAACACCAGCCCCAGUACCAGCCCCAGGACCAGCCCCAGUACCAGCACCAGCCCCAGCACCAGCCCCAGCACCAGCCCCAACACCAGCACCAGCCCCAGCACCAGUACCAGCCCCAGUACCAGCCCCAGUACCAGCCCCAGCACCAGCCCCAGUACCAGCCCCAGUACCAGCCCCAGCCCCAGUACCAGCCCCAGUACCAGCCCCAGCCCCAGUACCAGCCCCAGCCCCAGUACCAGAAAUGUAUCUCUGGAUACAGUUGGCACUUGUUCCUGCAC